AUAAGCAAAAGCUUCGUAGCCGUAGGAUCCUUUUUUUCUAACGUGGACUCCUCUCUCAAAUUAGAGUAGACAAAGUUCUGUCAUAUAUAUCACGGUCUGAAGUUGUAGCUGAACUUGCUUUCAUCUUCAGUUUCUAUCACUAUUUAAAGGUUUUCAUCAUUAUUCAUUUGGUGGCUAAAUAUUACUCAUGGAGAACUUAAGGACGUUUCUAGAGAAUGCAAGACCAUGUUUGAGUGAGAAAUUGGUCUCGAUGAAAUUGAGAGUUCAAUGAACAACACAUACAAUGCAAGUAAAUCUACCUACUCAAACCCAUCUUCUAUUUCUAAAGCAGAAGGGCUUUCGGUGGCUGAACCAAUAGAAGAUUCUUCGUUGGGAAGCAAAGCUUAUAGCUUUGAUGAGUAUCUAAAGGUUACAGAAGAGCAACUGAAAGCUUACGAUCAGCUCCAAACCAAUUUUCCAGCACAAAGCCAGAGUGGAUCCAAGUACAACGGGAAGGUUGACAUGAUUGUCUUGACAGAUGGAAGUCGUAUUCUUGGCCUCGGUGACCUUGGAGUUCAGGGAAUAGGAAUACCUAGAUUGGAGGGAGAAGAGUAUCUAUCAAUUGUUGAUGAUUUUAUGGAAGCCGUGCAUACAUGUUGGCCUAAAGCUAUUGUUCAGUUUGAGGAUUUUCAAAUGAAAUGGCCUUUUGAAACAUUACAACGUUAUCGUAAGAGGUUCUGCAUGUUCAACGAUGACAUACAAGGAACUGCUGGUGUUGCUCUCGUUGGACUAUUGGGAACUGUGAGAGCUCAAGGGCGGCCAUUGAGUGAUUUUGUUAACCAAAAGAUAGUAGUGGUAGGGGCUGGAAGUGCAGGGCUCGGUGUUCUUAACAUGACUAUUCAGGCUGUUUCGAGAAUGGCAGGGAACAACGAUUCUAGUUUACUUUAUCAAAAACAAAGAAGAAAAGGAAGGGACCACAAGAAAUCAAUGGUGGAAUCGAUCAGGCAGGGUGUGGAAAAUUACAACUCAGUUUUUGUUUUCACUGUUGAGAACAUGAGAAACCUCAAGUUCAAGGAACUCAGGGAGCAGCUGAAGUCAACUAGCAGUUACUUUAUCAAAAACAAAGAAGAAAAGGAAGGGACCACAAGAAAUCAAUGGUGGAAUCGAUCAGGCAGGGUGUGGAAAAUUACAACUCAGUUUUUGUUUUCACUGUUGAGAACAUGAGAAACCUCAAGUUCAAGGAACUCAGGGAGCAGCUGAAGUCAGCUAGCAGCAAGGAGCAGCUGGCAAACAAAUUUCUUUAUGCCAUAAAUGCGGAUGCUGGUUUUGAUCUAAGCUAAUGGAUGUUGUUGUUUUACCCUUCUUCUUGUUGAUAUACCUUUCGUAACAUCCUUUCAUCCCUAAUCUCAUCCUCGACCACAACCACUGCUUUGACCACGAUCGUCUCUCCGAAGAUUUGUGAGACAGUUCCAUUAGGUUAUGGGCACUAAGUGGUGAAACAUUGAUGGAGAUGGUUGGUGACACUUCCAUUGUGUAUUCAGUGGAUUCACAUGCUUCCGAAGUCAUUGUUAGUGGGAGUGAAGAUUGUUCGGCAAAGAUAUGGAAAGAUGGAAUUUGUGUCUAGAGCAUUGAGCAUCCUGGUUGCGUUUGGGAUGCCAAGUUUUUGGAAAAUGGAGAUAUUGUCACAGCUUGUUUAGAUGGAGUAGUACGUGUCUGGACGGCAGAACAGGAAAGAAUUGCUGAUCCCCAAGAAUUGGAGUUAUUUGCUUCAAGACUGUCUCAGUAUAAGUUGAAGAGGUGCCCCACAACAGCUGCCACACACACACACACACACUCACAAAGAGGAAGUUCCAAAAUCCUUUGGAAGAGGGUUGGAGGAUUGAAAUUGGAAGAAUUACCUGGGAUGGAUGCUUUACAAAUUCCAGAAAUACAGUGAGCGGAAUUCAUGGAAGUUUUUCCCUGUUUCAAGUUCUAAGGGGGGACACGAAACUUAUGUGACAGAAAUCAAAGGAUAACGUGUCUACAGUAAAUCGAAAUAAGAGUCUGGUUUUCAUUGAGUUCAACGUAUUCCUCAAACAGAAACACAGGGCCGUAUGCAUACUUCUACGACUACAGUAGUCAUCAUGCUAGAGGCAGAUGAAGUUGAAGUAGUGAUUGAUCCGAAGGACAUUGAACUGACUACUGCAAGAUCUGGGGGCGCAGGAGGGCGAAAUGUCAACAAGGUGGAGACAGCAAUUGAUCUUUCCCCAAGCCGACAGGAAACCACAUUUUUUGCA
RNA transcript from Cucumis sativus (cucumber), 2255 nucleotides. It is a transcript of the gene named sphingoid long-chain bases kinase 2, mitochondrial-like, with no coding region annotated. The transcript is spliced from 21 exons. Lineage: Eukaryota; Viridiplantae; Streptophyta; Magnoliopsida; Cucurbitales; Cucurbitaceae. The record is from RefSeq and is a predicted model, not a curated record.